Molecule: ribosomal RNA, 394 nt
Filed under: uncultured bacterium
Lineage: Bacteria
Description: partial 16S ribosomal RNA
Rfam family: Bacterial small subunit ribosomal RNA
Source: RNAcentral
AUACGUAUGGGGCAAGCGUUAUCCGGAAUUAUUGGGCGUAAAGAGUGCGUAGGUGGUUACCUAAGCGCAAGGUUUAAUCUUGAGGCUCAACCUCAUUCUGCCUUGCGAACUGGGCUACUUGAGUGCAGGAGGGGAAAGCGGAAUUCCCAGUGUAGCGGUGAAAUGCGUAGAUAUUGGGAAGAACACCGGUGGCGAAGGCGGCUUUCUGGACUGUAACUGACACUGAGGCACGAAAGCGUGGGGAGCAAACAGGAUUAGAUACCCUGGUAGUCCACGCCGUAAACGAUGAGCACUAGUUGUUGGGUAUGAAUGUAUUCAGUGACGCAGUUAACGCAAUAAGUGCUCCGCCUGGGGAGUACGGUGGCAACACUAAAACUCAAAUGAAUAGACGGGG